Molecule: long non-coding RNA, 433 nt
Organism: Pezoporus occidentalis (night parrot)
Lineage: Eukaryota; Metazoa; Chordata; Aves; Psittaciformes; Psittacidae
Exons: 5
Source: RefSeq, a predicted model, not a curated record
UAAGUACUGACAUGCCGUGACUCCACGGGCAGUGGUGAUGUUGAUAGAGGCAGACUUCUGCUGAGUGGGCAGCCAGAGUUCAGAGCCUGGCCAAGCUGCUUCCCUGGGAUGACAAAGGUUCCAAAUAAAUUUGCCUUUUGGAGGAAAACUGGCGAUCUCUGGAGAUGCCUGUACACACAGAGCCAGACUGCAGGUUUAGACUCUGCUUAGGGAAACCACGUCGCUUACCCCUGGAUUACUAUUUAUGUAGGUUGCCUUGGUUCAGUGAGCCUGGGAGCAGCUGUGGCAGAUGUUGCCCAAGUCUGCAGCAUGGUGGCAAUUAGGAUGUGCCACAGAUCACAGGACCGGUGAAUCAGCAGGAAGUCAACAGCAGUCUGCAUUAAUUUGGCCUCCUUUGAAAUAAAACACUUCACUUACAGAAAUGCUAUCAAAC